Molecule: ribosomal RNA, 529 nt
Filed under: uncultured bacterium
Lineage: Bacteria
Description: bacterial SSU rRNA
Rfam family: Bacterial small subunit ribosomal RNA
Source: RNAcentral
AGAGUUUGAUCCUGGCUCAGAUUGAACGCUGGCGGCAGGCCUAACACAUGCAAGUCGAACGGUAGCACAGAGGAGCUUGCUCCUUGGGUGACGAGUGGCGGACGGGUGAGUAAUGUCUGGGAAACUGCCCGAUGGAGGGGGAUAACUACUGGAAACGGUAGCUAAUACCGCAUGACGUCGCAAGACCAAAGAGGGGGACCUUCGGGCCUCUUGCCAUCAGAUGUGCCCAGAUGGGAUUAGCUAGUAGGUGAGGUAACGGCUCACCUAGGCGACGAUCCCUAGCUGGUCUGAGAGGAUGACCAGCCACACUGGAACUGAGACACGGCCCAGACUCCUACGGGAGGCAGCAGUAGGGAAUCUUCGGCAAUGGACGAAAGUCUGACCGAGCAACGCCGCGUGAGUGAAGAAGGCCUUCGGGUUGUAAAGUACUUUCAGCGAGGAGGAAGGCGUUGUGGUUAAUAACCGCAACGAUUGACGUUACUCGCAGAAGAAGCACCGGCUAACUCCGUGCCAGCCGCCGCGGUAAUUC